This 497-nucleotide ribosomal RNA is filed under the name uncultured bacterium. RNAcentral describes it as "partial 16S ribosomal RNA". The stretch from base 63 to 497 matches the Rfam family "Bacterial small subunit ribosomal RNA", at positions 39 to 507 of the family's 1533-position model. The record is from RNAcentral.
GGGGGGGGGGGGGGGGGGGGGGGGGGGGGGGGGGGCGGGGGGGGGGGCGGGGGGGGGGGGGGGGGGGGGGUGGCGGCGGGCGGGGGAGGAGGGCGGGGAUAACCUACCGAUAAGGCGGGGAGAACUGCGGGAAGCCGGAGCUAAUACCGGCUAAUAGUUGGAACCGCAGGGGUCAAAGGUGAAAGACGGUCUUGGUGGCACUGAUAGAUGGAUCCGCGCUGCAUUAGCUAGUUGGUAAGGUAACGGCUUACCAAGGCAACGAUGCAUAGCCGACCUGAGAGGGUGAUCGGCCACACUGGAACUGAGACACGGUCCAGACUCCUACGGGAGGCAGCAGUAGGGAAUCUUCCGCAAUGGGCGAAAGCCUGACGGAGCAACGCCGCGUGAGUGAUGAAGGUCUUCGGAUCGUAAAACUCUGUUAUUAGGGAAGAACAUAUGUGUAAGUAACUGUGCACAUCUUGACGGUACCUAAUCAGAAAGCCACGGCUAACUACGUG